UCUCUCGAGACUCCGACAGGCUGCCUCCAUCUCCGCAGCCGAUCGUGACGCCGACGACCGCCAGGCCGCCUUCCUCAUCCGCUCCUCCUCCACUUGGAUCCGAUCGGCGACCGCUAUUGCUCCUCCGCCUGGUGUCUCGGAUAUCCCACAAUCAUCACCAUUGUUGUCAUUUCGAGGAUUUCAGGUCUGCUAACGAAUGACUAUAAUUUUGAUCGCAAGUUGACAAUCUUGGCCUAGAGUGCUUCCGAAGUGGUAUCAAAUACUGUUUUCAAAGGAGAAGAUGAUGGUGGUGGAGAAGCUCUCUUCCUUAUAAGAUUUGUGGAUGAUGGGAGACCCUUUUGGCAAUUCAUAGUC
Dioscorea cayenensis subsp. rotundata (Guinea yam) is the source of this 354-nucleotide long non-coding RNA. RefSeq lists it as uncharacterized. The transcript has 4 exons. The record is from RefSeq and is a predicted model, not a curated record. NCBI's taxonomy places the organism in Eukaryota, Viridiplantae, Streptophyta, Magnoliopsida, Dioscoreales, Dioscoreaceae.